AAGUCUUAAGUUAAAAAAACUAAUAGCCUUCAAAGUUGGAAAUAUAAUUUUAGACUUUGA
This 60-nucleotide transfer RNA is filed under the name Pariaconus pele. Its description in RNAcentral is "tRNA-Trp". The record is from RNAcentral. Lineage: Eukaryota; Metazoa; Arthropoda; Insecta; Hemiptera; Triozidae.